AACGAACGCUGGCGGCAUGCCUAACACAUGCAAGUCGAACGAGACCUCCGGGUCUAGUGGCGCACGGGUGCGUAACGCGCGGGAACCUGCCCUUAGGUUCGGAAUAACUCCCCGAAAGGGGUGCUAAUACCGGAUAAUUUCUUCGGACCAAAGUUUUAUCGCCUUUGGAUGGGCCUGCGUUGGUUUAGCUAGUUGGUAGGGUAAAAGCCUACCAAGGCGAGGAUCCAUAGCUGGUCUGAGAGGAUGAUGAGCGACACUGGGACUGAGACACGGCCCAGACUAGUACGGGAGGGAGCAGUAGGGAGUAUUGGACAAUGGGCGAAAGCAUGAUCCAGCAGUGCCGCGUGAGUGAUGAAGGCCUUAGGGUUGUAAAGCUCUUUUACCCGGGAUGAUAAUGACAGUACCGGGAGAGUAAGCUCCGGCUAACUCCGUG
RNAcentral lists this ribosomal RNA (433 nucleotides) under uncultured bacterium. RNAcentral describes it as "partial 16S ribosomal RNA". It matches the Rfam family "Bacterial small subunit ribosomal RNA", at positions 29 to 507 of the family's 1533-position model. The record is from RNAcentral.